RNAcentral lists this ribosomal RNA (495 nucleotides) under uncultured bacterium. RNAcentral describes it as "bacterial SSU rRNA". It matches the Rfam family "Bacterial small subunit ribosomal RNA", at positions 28 to 507 of the family's 1533-position model. The record is from RNAcentral.
GAUGAACGCUAGCUACAGGCUUAACACAUGCAAGUCGAGGGGAAACGAUAGAGAAAGCUUGCUUUUUCUAGGCGUCGACCGGCGCACGGGUGAGUAACGCGUAUCCAACCUGCCCACCACUUGGGGAUAACCUUGCGAAAGUAAGACUAAUACCCAAUGACGUCUCUAGAAGACAUCUGAAAGGGAUUAAAGAUUUAUCGGUGAUGGAUGGGGAUGCGUCUGAUUAGCUUGUUGGCGGGGUAACGGCCCACCAAGGCAACGAUCAGUAGGGGUUCUGAGAGGAAGGUCCCCCCACAUUGGAACUGAGACACGGUCCAAACUCCUACGGGAGGCAGCAGUGAGGAAUAUUGGGUCAACGGGGCGAGAGCCUGAACCAGCCAAGUAGCGUGCAGGAUGACGGCCCUAUGGGUUGUAAACUGCUUUUAUAAGGGAAUAAAGUGAGCCUCGUGAGGCUUUUUGCAUGUACCUUAUGAAUAAGGACCGGCUAAUUCCGUG